UACUGGAAACCAGGCUGCCACCACUUCAAGACCAAAGGCACUGCCAUGCUGGAGAGGGGGUGGAGCAAGGACAGUGAACAAAAUAGAUAAAAAUCCCAGUGACUUUACAUUCUAGUGGUGAUCAGGAGAAGACUGAGAAGGUGACAUUGAGCACAGACGUGAAAGCUACCCGCCAGUCUCCCAUCGUCCAGAUUUCUCAGAUGUCAGACACAGUCUGCACUGUCCUUCAGGUUCUAGGAGACUCUAUGGAGGAGCAAUGGGCCAAGAACUCAUUGCAUUUCUAAAAAGAAAAGGCUUGCGCCUGCAGCUCUCCUGGGCUAGAAGUUGAAUUGAAGCUGCAGCUGCAGGCCUUCGCCACAGCCACAGCAACAUCAGAUCCUAGCUGCAUUUGUGACCCAUGCUGCACCUUGUGACAACGCCUGAUCCUUAACCCACUGAGUGAGGCCAGGGAUCGAACUCACAUCCUCAUGGAUACUAGUUGGGCUCUUAACCCACUUAAUCACAAUGGGAACUCCUUUUUUUUUUUUUUUUCUUAAAUCUUUAUGAUUUUCUGCACACUUUCGUCUAACAUGCAGAAAGGCUGUCAAAAGAAUUGCAUUCCUCAGCCCAAAGGGUGUUAAUAGCCAUUAUCUUCUUUCUGAGCUUUUAUCAGGAACUUCUGCUUGGCAAUUCAAGCUGUGAGAACGUUUGCCAGAGAUUUCUCAGGAGCAGGCUUAACUCUUCCUACUGUAGCAGAAUUAAUCUCUUUAGCAGUUCUCACUUUUCCUGGAGUCUGGGGCCUUUCUCAAGCUGGGUCCACUCUGUCCCCGGUAGCUGGUGCUCUGCUCUUCUGAUCUGGUGCCUGCUUCGUGGCGGAGCCCAGGGGGGAUGGAAUGUUUCUGUUUGACAGUUUGCCAGCAGCAAAAGAAUGAGCUUUCCUUGAGAAUUUCCAUUCGUGGGCUCUGAACCAAGUCCAGGGAACUAUCUACCACGAGAUCCUGGUGGUGUUGCAGCCUGGGGAGAUAGGAACAUGUACAGAGAGCUAUUUUUCUGGUCCUACCUGCUGACCGAGUCACCAUCACAUUAGGCACAAUUAAGCUGUUUCUUUUGAUAAAAUUUCCCUCCUUGCCAUGUCCAUAGAGGCUCGUCUGUGAAUUACUUUUGAUCUUGGAAGAUUUUGUUUUUUAGAUUUUUUUUUUUAGGCUAUGUCUGCCUUGUUUAUAAUAAGUAGGACAUCUUCCUAUUAGAAGUAAGUGUUCAUCUGUACCCUCUAUGAAGGCAUGGGACUAAAAAGGGGUUCAUUGGAGUUCCUGGCCUGGCGCUGUGGAAAUGAAUCCGACUAGGAACCAUGAGGUUGCCGGUUCGAUCCCUGGCCUCGCUCAUUGGGUUAAGGAUCUGGUAUUGCCGUGACCUGUGGUGUUGGUCGCAGACUCGGCUCUGAUCUGGCAGUGCUGUGGCUGUGACGUAAGCUGGCAGCUGUACCUCGGGUUGGACCCCUAGCCUGGGAACCUCCAUAUGCCACAGGUGUGGCCCUAAAAUAAAUAAGUAAAUAAAUAAAUAAAAAA
This 1544-nucleotide long non-coding RNA is filed under the name Sus scrofa (pig). Its description in RNAcentral is "lncRNA (ENSSSCG00035074072.1)". Lineage: Eukaryota; Metazoa; Chordata; Mammalia; Artiodactyla; Suidae. The record is from RNAcentral.